This 253-nucleotide ribosomal RNA is filed under the name uncultured bacterium. Its description in RNAcentral is "partial 16S ribosomal RNA". It matches the Rfam family "Bacterial small subunit ribosomal RNA", at positions 524 to 776 of the family's 1533-position model. The record is from RNAcentral.
UACGUAGGGUCCGAGCGUUGUCCGGAAUUAUUGGGCGUAAAGGGUGCGUAGGCGGCGCGGUAAGUCGGGUGUGAAAUCUCGGAGCUUAACUCCGAAACUGCAUUCGAUACUGGCGUGCUUGAGGACUGGAGAGGAGACUGGAAUUCAUGGUGUAGCAGUGAAAUGCGUAGAGAUCAUGAGGAAGACCAGUGGCGAAGGCGGGUCUCUGGACAGUUCCUGACACUGAGACACGAAGGCCAGGGGAGCAAACGGG